Molecule: ribosomal RNA, 547 nt
Filed under: Uncultured marine dinoflagellate 48-5-EKD17
Lineage: Eukaryota
Description: bacterial SSU rRNA
Rfam family: Eukaryotic small subunit ribosomal RNA
Source: RNAcentral
AUGGNAGGGUUGUGUUUAUCAGAUAGAGAACCAAUCCAGGCUUUGCUUGGCACUGUGGUGAUUCAUANUAGCCGAACGAAUCGCAUGGCUUCAGCCGGCGAUGAAUCAUUCAAGUUUCUGACCUAUCAGCUUCCGAUGGUAAGGUAUUGGCCUACCGUGGCAAUGACGGGUAGACGGAGAAUUAGGGUUCGAUUCCGGAGAGGGAGCCUGAGAGUCGGCUACCACAUCUAAGGAAGGCAGCAGGCGCGCACAUUAUUCAGGUCCUGACACAGUGGAGGUAGUGACAAGAAAUAACANGACAGGGCAUCCAUGUCUUGUAAUUGGAAUGAGUANAACACAUGUCCCGUUUCGAGUAACACUUGGAAGGCAAGUCUGGCGCCAGCAGCCGCGGUAAUUCCAGCUCGAAUAGCGUAUAUUAAAAUUGUUGCNGGUAAAANCCUCGUAGUUGGAUUUCUGCCGAUGACAACCGGUCCGCCCUCCGGGGUUGAGUAGCUGGCUUGGCCUGGGCAUCUCCUUUGGAGAAGCGUUAAACUGCACUUGACUGUUU